AGACUUUAAAAAGCACUCCAGAAGAAAGCA
This 30-nucleotide non-coding RNA is filed under the name Cricetulus griseus (Chinese hamster). The record is from RNAcentral. Lineage: Eukaryota; Metazoa; Chordata; Mammalia; Rodentia; Cricetidae.